UUGCGGCAUACUUCAAAGCUGUUUACUGUGGGAGAAUGAUGUCUACGCAGCACAGUGAAAGCAUGAACAGACUUGUGAAAAGACAUCAUGUUAACACUACGACACCUUUGCAUGAGUUUGCACGAAAAAUGUACCUAGUCUUGCAAAAGAGAAAAGAAGCAGAAGGCCGAGAGACCAUUGCAUGUCAGGCACGCCCAGCAACAAUAACAAACUACCCUCUGGAAAAUCAGUUGAGCAGGAUCUAUACCCGUGCCGUAUUCAACAAAUACAAAGAUGCAUAUGUUUAUGGAACAUCUUUCCUUACAAAGAAAGUGGAUGCUGGUCGUUUCCUUGUGGUCUAUGGUAGAGAUGGCCCGUCUUUUUCUUGGUCCCAACAUGAGUUCAAAGUGGUUUGUGAUGAAGAAAAAGAAGAC
Molecule: long non-coding RNA, 413 nt
Organism: Triticum aestivum (bread wheat)
Lineage: Eukaryota; Viridiplantae; Streptophyta; Magnoliopsida; Poales; Poaceae
Exons: 2
Source: RefSeq, a predicted model, not a curated record